GUACCCAUGGUGUAGUGGUUAUCACAUCCGCUUCACACGCGGAAGGGCCCCAGGUUCGAGACCUGGUGGGUACA
Uloborus diversus is the source of this 74-nucleotide non-coding RNA. The record is from the annotation of a RefSeq genome assembly. Lineage: Eukaryota; Metazoa; Arthropoda; Arachnida; Araneae; Uloboridae.